Molecule: ribosomal RNA, 253 nt
Filed under: uncultured bacterium
Lineage: Bacteria
Description: partial 16S ribosomal RNA
Rfam family: Bacterial small subunit ribosomal RNA
Source: RNAcentral
UACGUAGGGUGCAAGCGUUAAUCGGAAUUACUGGGCGUAAAGCGUGCGCAGGCGGUUUUGUAAGUCUGUCGUGAAAGCCCCGGGCUCAACCUGGGAAUUGCGAUGGAGACUGCAAGGCUUGAAUCUGGCAGAGGGGGGUAGAAUUCCACGAGUAGCAGUGAAAUGCGUAGAGAUGUGGAGGAACACCGAUGGCGAAGGCAGCCCCCUGGGUCAAGAUUGACGCUCAUGCACGAAAGCGUGGGGAGCAAACAGG